UGGGGAAUUUUGGACAAUGGGCGAAAGCCUGAUCCAGCAAUGCCGCGUGUGUGAAGAAGGCCUUCGGGUUGUAAAGCACUUUUGUCCGGAAAGAAAUCCUUGGCUCUAAUACAGUCGGGGGAUGACGGUACCGGAAGAAUAAGCACCGGCUAACUACGUGCCAGCAGCCGCGGUAAUACGUAGGGUGCAAGCGUUAAUCGGAAUUACUGGGCGUAAAGCGUGCGCAGGCGGUUUGCUAAGACCGAUGUGAAAUCCCCGGGCUCAACCUGGGAACUGCAUUGGUGACUGGGCAGGCUAGAGUAUGGCAGAGGGGGGUAGAAUUCCACGUGUAGCAGUGAAAUGCGUAGAGAUGUGGAGGAAUACCGAUGGCGAAGGCAGCCCCCUGGGCCAAUA
Molecule: ribosomal RNA, 393 nt
Filed under: uncultured bacterium
Lineage: Bacteria
Description: partial 16S ribosomal RNA
Rfam family: Bacterial small subunit ribosomal RNA
Source: RNAcentral